This 497-nucleotide ribosomal RNA is filed under the name uncultured bacterium. RNAcentral describes it as "partial 16S ribosomal RNA". It matches the Rfam family "Bacterial small subunit ribosomal RNA", at positions 28 to 507 of the family's 1533-position model. The record is from RNAcentral.
GAUGAACGCUGGCGGCGUGCCUAAUACAUGCAAGUCGAGCGAACAGACGAGGAGCUUGCUCCUCUGACGUUAGCGGCGGACGGGUGAGUAACACGUGGAUAACCUACCUAUAAGACUGGGAUAACUUCGGGAAACCGGAGCUAAUACCGGAUAAUAUAUUGAACCGCAUGGUUCAAUAGUGAAAGACGGUUUUGCUGUCACUUAUAGAUGGAUCCGCGCCGCAUUAGCUAGUUGGUAAGGUAACGGCUUACCAAGGCAACGAUGCGUAGCCGACCUGAGAGGGGGAUAGGCCACACUGGAACUGAGACACGGUCCAGACUCCUACGGGAGGCAGCAGUAGGGAAUCUUCCGCAAUGGGCGAAAGCUUGACGGAGCAACGCCGCGUGAGUGAUGAAGGUCUUCGGAUCGUAAAACUCUGUUAUUAGGGAAGAACAAAUGUGUAAGUAACUAUGCACGUCUUGACGGUACCUAAUCAGAAAGCCACGGCUAACUACGUG